Molecule: microRNA precursor, 97 nt
Filed under: Nicotiana sylvestris (wood tobacco)
Lineage: Eukaryota; Viridiplantae; Streptophyta; Magnoliopsida; Solanales; Solanaceae
Also listed under: 1 other name
Description: MIR6152 microRNA precursor family
Rfam family: MIR6152 microRNA precursor family
Source: Rfam by way of RNAcentral
UGAACAGAUUAUUGUAUUCAAUUGUAUUCACGAGGUGAAAUAGGGGAUUAUACUAUUUUUAAAACGGAAAGUGAAUCAAUUAACAUAAUAGACUCCU